RNAcentral lists this ribosomal RNA (496 nucleotides) under uncultured bacterium. RNAcentral describes it as "bacterial SSU rRNA". It matches the Rfam family "Bacterial small subunit ribosomal RNA", at positions 29 to 525 of the family's 1533-position model. The record is from RNAcentral.
AACUAACGCUAGCGGCGUGCCUAACACAUGCAAGUCGUACGAGAAAGUCGGCUUCGGCCGGCGAGUAAAGUGGCGCACGGGUGAGUAACGCGUGGAUAAUCUACCCUUGAGUUGGGAAUAACGUGCCGAAAGGUGCGCUAAUACCGAAUAAUACUGAGUGACUAAUGUUGCUUAGUCAAAGAAGGCCUCUGCUUGCAAGCUUUCGCUGAAGGAUGAGUCCGCGUACCAUUAGCUAGUUGGUAGGGUAAUGGCCUACCAAGGCAACGAUGGUUAGCUGGUCUGAGAGGAUGAUCAGCCACACUGGAACUGAGACACGGUCCAGACUCCUACGGGAGGCAGCAGUGGGGAAUUUUGCGCAAUGGGGGAAACCCUGACGCAGCGACGCCGCGUGGAGGAUGACGGCCUUCGGUUGUAAACCUCUGUCAUGGGGAAGAAGUAAGUGACGGUACCCCAAGAGGAAGCCCCUGCUAACUACGUGCCAGCAGCCGCGGUAAGA